This 759-nucleotide ribosomal RNA is filed under the name uncultured Prevotella sp. RNAcentral's name for it is "bacterial SSU rRNA". It matches the Rfam family "Bacterial small subunit ribosomal RNA", at positions 28 to 776 of the family's 1533-position model. The record is from RNAcentral. Lineage: Bacteria; Pseudomonadati; Bacteroidota; Bacteroidia; Bacteroidales; Prevotellaceae.
GAUGAACGCUAGCUACAGGCUUAACACAUGCAAGUCGCGGGGCAGCAUGGGGGUUGCUUGCAAUCCCUGAUGGCGACCGGCGCACGGGUGAGUAACGCGUAUCCAACCUGCCCUUCACCACGGGAUAACCCGGCGAAAGUCGGACUAAUACCGUAUGUAGUCCAUUGACGGCAUCCGAUUUGGACGAAAGGCUUAGCGGUGAGGGAUGGGGAUGCGUCCGAUUAGCUUGACGGCGGGGUAACGGCCCACCGUGGCGACGAUCGGUAGGGGUUCUGAGAGGAAGGUCCCCCACACUGGAACUGAGACACGGUCCAGACUCCUACGGGAGGCAGCAGUGAGGAAUAUUGGUCAAUGGGCGGAAGCCUGAACCAGCCAAGUAGCGUGCAGGAUGACGGCCCUAUGGGUUGUAAACUGCUUUUAUGCGGGGAUAAAGGAGCCCACGUGUGGGUUUUUGCAGGUACCGCAUGAAUAAGGACCGGCUAAUUCCGUGCCAGCAGCCGCGGUAAUACGGAAGGUCCGGGCGUUAUCCGGAUUUAUUGGGUUUAAAGGGAGCGUAGGCCGCCCCUUAAGCGUGUUGUGAAAUGCGGGUGCUCAACAUCCGACUUGCAGCGCGAACUGGGGGGCUUGAGUGCGCCGAAAGUAGGCGGAAUUCGUGGUGUAGCGGUGAAAUGCUUAGAUAUCACGAAGAACUCCGAUUGCGAAGGCAGCUUACUGUAGCGCAACUGACGCUGAUGCUCGAAAGCGUGGGUAUCGAACAGG